UUCCAGUCAUAAUAGUAGACUUGUAUAUUUCUCUCCUCAGUCUAACCAGUGUUUGCCUUAUGGAUUUUGAUGCUGUAUUGUUAUAUGCAUAUAUGUUUAGGAGCAUUACAUUUUCUGGGAUAUUUGAUUCCUUUAUCACUAUGUAACAAUUUAUUUGAAGCACUGAUAUAUUCACUGUGGGGACUUUGUCCUUUAAGUGACACAGGAAGUCAGGAGGGUGCAGGAAUAUGAGUAAUUCACUUGGGGAUUUCCAGUUUGGGUAAGGCUCAGGCAGAGUACUUUUCCCUGAAGAGUAACUCUUUGUGUGGUGAAGCCUCCAGGUACACUUCAUGACUAUAACUCACCUCUUCUUCAGCCCAAGCCAUGUCGGGCUCUUUAUCAGAUCUUCACCAAAAUACCUCCAUGAGGCACAGGGACCUAGGGAUGGAUAGCCCGCUCCUGCAAGCCGAGAUCAUUCAAACCACCAACUCGACGCCUGCUUGGCUCCUUGCCUCAUGUUCCCUGCAGAAGUCAGAAUAAAGGCUCUUGCUGCUGCUGCUGCUCCUUCACUGGCCCUGCUGCUUCCCUUUGUGGUGUGCUGUGCCUCUCGUUCUCAGGGAUCUGCGCUGUGGAACCUUUCCUUGAGAGAAGCACUGACAUCCACCUGCAUCAUGAGUGUUACCACAGCUGAAUGCAAAUAAGCCUAAAAUUUUCCUUUUCCUCCCACUCCAUCCCAACUCUUCACAACACCAAGUACUUCUGCUUCCCACCUCUCAAUAGGAAAGCACUCAGACAGCAGCAAUCCUGCCCUCAAAGGGCAGAUAUUGUACUAGUCAGCCUUGCAUCAUUAUAGCGAAAUACCCAGGUCAGGCUACUUAUAAAGAAAAUCAGACUUAUUUGGCUCACAGGUGGGAAGUUCACAGGUCUGGUGCUUAUAUUGGCUGUUCUGGUGAAGGUCCCAUGGCAGAUGUGGAUAGUAAAUGGCAGGCAACAGUCUCAUCUUGAGUCACAGAGCAGAGAGGAAAGAAUCAGGCUUGCUCCUUUUAUUAUAAGUCUGUUAUGAGGACUCAAGGUUUGCAUGGGAAGCACUGUAAUCAAGGCAGGAUUCCAAGAGAUACAAGAACCUCCCACUUAAGCUCCACAGAACCUCCCAGUAUUAACUGACUGGAGACCAUGUCCCUGGGAGGACACUCACAUCACUUUGGGAGCCACUGCAGACAUCUGGUGUGGACCAAGAGUGGUGCACACUGUUCCUGCCUUGGGGAGGAGCUUCCGGUAUGACCUUAGUUCUCUCUGGACGUAGGCUUGGAAGUGAACUUACUCUGUGAAAGGUAGCCACAGCACAUCAGGUUUUGGCGUAUUAACAUCUUAUGGGGUAAGGAUACUUUGUCCAAGCCCUAUGGAAUUUGCUGUUUCUCUGUGGGUUGCAUUAGGUUGUCCCUAAGAUUCCUGUCACUUCCAAGAGCUAUGCACAUGAUUCUAAGGAAGGUAGGCUUGGUUUGGACAGGCAGGAAAUAUAUUUAGUAAACAAAUUUCAAGACAUUCUUCAGUUACUGACCUAUGUGCAGCACAACUGAAUAGUCAGUGUCAGAAUGCAGCAAUAAAAUGAGAGUCCAGAAAAGAAGAAAGAUGAAACCAAGAAUUUACUUGGUAUAUCUCUGUCUUUGUGGACAUUUCCGUCAAGAGGGAUUCUGGUGUUAUGUCAGACAAGUAGGAGGAAAACUGUAACAGACAUAGUGCAAGCCAAGCAGCAAUCCCCAAAAACAAAACAAGUUUUACCCUAGGAAAAACAAGGGGUAUGAGAAAUAAAAAGUUAUCACUGGCUGGCGAUUUAGCUCAGAGGCACAAGCCUGCAUGGCAUGUGCAGUCAUGAGUUAGAUCCCGGGUACCAAAAAAAAAAGGUACCACAAUAUGUUGUGCGUAUCUAUUUGUUGUUGUUAUUACAAAAUACCCGAAGGUUGGCAUUUUAUAAAGAAAAGAGUCUUAUGCUGGUGACCAUUUUUGAGGCUGGAAGUCCAAGAUGGGGCAGUCCCAUCUGGUGAGGACUAUGUCAGGGCAUGAUCAACAGCAUUAUGCAGGAGCCCAAGCAAGGUGGACUGAUCACGUGGUAAGACAGGAAGCCAGAUAUACAGGUUAUUGUGGGCCCGCUCAUGCAGGAACAAACCAGCUCCAUGCCAGCACUACUAAUCCCUUCUCAGGAAUCUGUCCAUGGUCCAGUCACUGCCCAAUGGCUCUGCCUCUCAAGAGAACAACCACCACCUCCCAGAGGAGGGUCCCACUGCCCAGGGAUCAGGCUCCCAGCACGUGAAGUAGGGACACACUCAAAUCACAUCCAGACCACAACGUGUGUCCAAGGUCCCAGCUCUUCAAUCUGAGGGGCCACACCCCUUGCUGCUGUCCUGGAACGCUGGGCAGUGGGCUCCCAGCUGCUGUGCUGUCUGGAACAUGCAGAGACCUGAGUGGAGACCUGGUGGCUGUCAACUACACUUCAAUGAUCAAAGCAAAGUAACCACUGAAACCUCUGCAAUCUCAAGGUUUAAAAAAUGAAGAGAAGGACAUAAGUAAAGAGAAAAUCCACAGUUUUACUGGGCCUCAGCGCAGUCUUUGGUCGGUCAGUCGGGCGAAGAAGCUGGUAACAAGAUCUGCGGCUUCCAACGUCAACAGACGCAGGGGCCCACCUCAGCAAUGCCUCUGCAACCUCUGAAUACUCAAACAAUAGAAUGAAAUCCACCUGUACCGUUUUGGGUGGAUUUAAGAUUGGGGGGCCACACUACCUCCCCAAGUGUUUAAUUCGAAGUCAGGUUCCUCUACGUGUUACAGGCCGGGCUCCUUAAGACUGAAAACGCGUCCAACAGAACACUGGUGCUCAACAUUAGCGGGCUCAGAAAUGUUCGCUCCUCCACUCUACUGCUUCUUUCUUUGCGGAGCGAAGGGUGCGAAUGCACACAGCCUCGGGACCCACAGGAACGGGGCCACGCCGGGCCUCCUGCACAGGAGCCUCGCCAGUGUCCCAACCCGGGCUUCCCAGGAGCCCGCCGCUCCGCACUUCCGGUUCCCAAGAUCCUGGCCCCUCCAUCCCCGCGCAACAGUGGGACCCCGCGCCUAGGUUCCGGAGGGAAGCUGCCACAAUCUGCCCUUUGUAGUGCGUUUAUCCCAUUUCCCCCUAUUUUCAAAGGGCACCAGCCCGCGAACACUUGCCCUUGCCCAGGUAUCGGUGGGCACUCUCCAUUUGCCGCGUCCCUGCCCGAAAGCCUCCAGGGAACACCGUGGGGAGGAAAAGUGCGGCUACACCUACCUGCGCCAGGUGAGGCGGGGUAGUUCCGGCGCGGUUCGGGGUUUCCUGCACGGCUCGGACGAUUCCGGCGCGGCUCGGGAGCCCGCUCGUCGUUACUCGCCUGUCGCCUCAGCCGCCUCGAGUAUGGCGCUUCUUCGUUUCGGGCAGCUUUCUUGUGUUGCCCCGCCGACCGCGCCCUGGCGCCCGGAGCGCGGUCCCUCCCGCUGUGCGGUUGCCGGGAAGAGGACUUGGGCCCCGGGCUGCGGAGCGCGGGCCGGAAGCCCCUGCCAGGGCGGCGCCAGAGCUGGCGGAGGCGCAGUCCCCGCUCCGCCGCCCAGCGCUGCCGUGGGCGCCGAGCGCUCGGAGCCCGAGCCUUGCCGCGGUCCUAGAACGGGCUGAAGCACGCACCCCUUUCUGCAGUUUCCUGUGAAAGCCGUCAGCAGUCGCCUGCUCACCACCACAUAAUAACCAGUCCUGCUGAGGCAGGAGCCCCGAGGGCGCAGGAGCCGAGGACGAGAACCGCCACGAAGUCUCUGCGGGGAACUUCUGCAAGGAUGCCCUGCAGCCCCCUGCACACCCGGCCUUGGACUCCUGCCGCCCACCUGAGUGAUCCAGGUAGCAAGGAUUCGGGCUUCCAAACAGCUUGUGCAGUCCUCCUCAAAACUUCCCCGGCCUUAGUCUCCUAGCGUUUCGAGUGUAAGGCUGAUUUUUUCAUCAGGGUACAUGAACAUGGGUCGGUGAGACCCACGCUUAGUCUGUAGAGUAUUUCUGUUGAUGAAUUACUAACUGUAACUUUGUGAGUUUAAUUAUAUUAAACAGUGAGUACUUAACGGGAAAAAAAUCACAAAAAUAAAAUGCUGAGGUUUUUAGUAUUUGUCUAAAAAAGCAUCGAAAUUUGAAACAUCGACUGCUUUUUGGGUGUACAAAGAACAUUAGAAAUAAAUUCCAAUAUGAGUUGCAAUGAAAAUACCACUAGCACUCUACCAAAAAAAAGUCUUCAGUUAUCACACCUAGCAGUCUGCACACAGGACAACAGCACAUUCCAUACACACGCACUGCUUUACUGACAGCACAGGUCCCUUGUUUUCCUGGCCUCUUUUGGACAUACUGGAAUUUCAGCGAUCUUGCUGUUGUGUCAGGAAGUUCUUAGUGUAUAAUGUGUGAUUCACAGGGACAAAAUAUCAACAAAUUAUUAAAUUCUUCGUAUUGUGUGUUUAGAAUAGACAUCAUAUUUUCAAGCAGCUGUGUACUUCCUUAACAAAGCCUAAAAGAUAACAUCAGAAAUAAAUCCUAUAUUAACUACAAUUUAAAUACCAAUAAAACUGUACCAGAAAAAUAAGCUUUGAUUCAACUGCACACCCAAGGCUGUCUUCACACAUGACAACUCUAUGUUCCAUACACAAGUAUUGCUUACACUGAUAGUAUGUUUUUGUUUUUCCCGUUCUUUCUUGUAGGGCACAAUUGACAUCUUUUUUGCUUUUUUGUUGUUGUGUUAGGUCUUUGUGAUGCUGCACCCACUUCUUUACCUGUCAGCUCACCAGUGUGCCGCACAAUUUUUUUUGCAUAGUUCCCUAGAGAGAAACAUGUUUUUCCUCUGCUGUAAAUAAUCUUUUAUUAACUCUAGUUCCAAUCCCCUAAGAAAAUUUUCUCUGUGGAACUUAACACUUUUUAUUUUCUUUGUAAACUAUCAAACUAUGCCACACAUUUAGAAUUGAAUAAAGCACAACCAUUGCCAACGUUUUGUAUUUCAAGUGACAUCAUAGUUUCUGCAUAACUCAUGAAUAACCUGUAUACCACAUUUGAUUUUGUUGGAAGUUUGCAUCUCAGGUUUCCCUUUUGGCCAGGUUUCCUACUAAUUGUUACAGUGUUGAAAUGUUGACAUUAGCAGUAUCAGUUUGCUUUUCUUUGUCAUACACAAAGUUAAUGUUAUAGCUUUCUGAAAUUCAAAGAUUGUACAAUGUUUUGAAAUUGGAAUUUGAAAUUUCAUUUGGGAUUUCUGCUUUGUUCCUGUGUACAGUUCCUCAACUGGUCAACUUGUACUCUGUUAGCAAAUAAAAACAUCAAUUGGAAAUCGGUAAA
Long non-coding RNA from Cavia porcellus (domestic guinea pig), 5332 nucleotides. RefSeq lists it as uncharacterized. The record is from RefSeq and is a predicted model, not a curated record. The transcript has 4 exons. NCBI's taxonomy places the organism in Eukaryota, Metazoa, Chordata, Mammalia, Rodentia, Caviidae.